AGGCAUCUUUUUAUUUUUAAAAGACCUAGCAAUAGGUAUGCUUAGGGAAGAGCUUGCGUCACAUUAGUUAGUUGGUGGGGUAAUGGCCUACCAAGACGAUGAUGUGUAGCCGGGCUGAGAGGUCGAACGGCCACAUUGGGACUGAGACACGGCCCAAACUCCUACGGGAGGCAGCAGUAAGGAAUUUUCGGCAAUGGAGGAAACUCUGACCGAGCAAUGCCGCGUGAACGAUGAAGUAUUUCGGUACGUAAAGUUCUUUUAUUAGGGAAGAAAAGAUGGUGGAAAAACCAUUAUGACGGUACCUAAUGAAUAAGCCCCGGCUAACUAUGUGCCAGCAGCCGCGGUAAUACAUAGGGGGCAAGCGUUAUCCGGAAUUAUUGGGCGUAAAGGGUGCGUAGGCGGUUAAAUAAGUUUAUGGUCUAAGUGCAACGCUCAACGUUGUGAUGCUAUAAAAACUGUUUAGCUAGAGUUGGAUAGAGGCAAGUGGAAUUCCGUGUGUAGUGGUAAAAUGCGUAAAUAUACGGAGGAACACCAGAAGCGAAGGCGGCUUGCUGGGUCUUAACUGACGCUGAGGCACGAAAGCGUGGGGAGCAAACAGGAUUAGAUACCCUGGUAGUCCACGCCCUAAACGAUGAGUACUAAACGUUGGAUAAAACCAGUGUUGAAGUUAACACAUUAAGUACUCCGCCUGAGUAGUACGUACGCAAGUAUGAAACUUAAAGGAAUUGACGGGACUCCGCACAAGCGGUGGAUCAUGUUGUUUAAUUCGAAGGUACCCGAAAAACCUCACCAGGUCUUGACAUGCUUUUGCAAAGCUGUAGAAAUACAGUGGAGGUUAUCAGAAGCACAGGUGGUGCAUGGUUGUCGUCAGCUCGUGUCGUGAGAUGUUGGGUUAAGUCCCGCAACGAGCGCAACCCUUGUUGUUAAUUGCCAUCAUUAAGUUGGGGACUUUAGCAAGACUGCCAAUGAUAAAUUGGAGGAAGGUGGGGACGACGUCAAAUCAUCAUGCCCCUUAUGACCUGGGCUACAAACGUGAUACAAUGGCUGUUACAAAGGGUAGCUAAAGCGUAAGCUUCUGGCGAAUCUCAAAAAAGCAGUCUCAGUUCGGAUUGAAGUCUGCAACUCGACUUCAUGAAGUUGGAAUCGCUAGUAAUCGCGAAUCAGCAUGUCGCGGUGAAUACG
Molecule: ribosomal RNA, 1182 nt
Filed under: Candidatus Phytoplasma solani
Lineage: Bacteria; Bacillati; Mycoplasmatota; Mollicutes; Acholeplasmatales; Acholeplasmataceae
Description: bacterial SSU rRNA
Rfam family: Bacterial small subunit ribosomal RNA
Source: RNAcentral